CCGCCCCGGAGGUGCUGAGUGCGGCGGCGACGCCACCCUUGCUCCUGCUCCCUGAGGGGAGGUGGCGGUGGUUGGCGGCGCCCCCGUCUUUCAGCUGCUCGCCGCGGCCCCUUCACCUCCGUUCGUUUUCCGUCCCCCCGCCUUCGGUCGGAGGUGGCUCUGUGUGGAAGUGCUUCAGCCCUCGCCCCCGCGGCGGCCUGGGGAGCCCCGGGCUGGCCGGGCGCCAGCGCAGCCUACCUCGGCCGGGCGGCUUGGCUGAAGGGCUCCUGGCGCGACGCCGAGGCUCUUCGUACUGAAAGUGCCAGCUCUAGGAUUCUUCAAGAAUAAACUGAGUGUGAAUGAUGGUUAUUUCUUGUACUUCCAUUUAAAGGACAAAGGUUCCUGGUUUCAUGUGGAUACAUUAUACUGUGAUUGAGGCACAAUGCAAGCAAUGUGACAAUUACAGGAAAAUACCAGUUAGUAUCAAGUUGUGUGGCAAUUCUCCUCUGCUGUACCAGGACUAUUCUGCGCAUAUCGCUGAAAUGCGGAGCAGCUGAUAGCCAGGGUGCUUUGUCCAUGCCAUUUGAAGAGAAGAACUUUACAGUGCUGCUUUUCCAUGGGAGCCUGAGGAGAGCUCACUCCAGAUGAAAGGAAAUGGAAUGCAUCUGAAAGAGCAGCCAAAUUUUGAUAGCUUUUUCUUGCCAAUGCUGCGUCAGCAAGUGUAUGAGCACUGAUUCAAGUUUUCGUUACUCAGCUCUUAUGGCAGUAACAAAUAGUUUCCAUCAGAAGUAGUCUUUGAAGAGGUUGGAAAGGACAUUUUCAGCUCCCUGUGCUCUGCCGGGUACAUAAGAAGCCAGGACGGGACACAGCUGGGACAGCUGACCCCAACUGACCCAAGGGAUUGUCCGUACCAGAUGACGUCAUGCUCAGCAUAUAAAGCUGGGGGACGAAGAAAGAAGAGGGGGACGUUUGGAGUGAUGGCGUUUGUCUUCCCAAUUAACCGUUACACAUGCUGGAGCCCUGCUUUCCUGGGGAUGGCUGAACACCUGCCUGCCCAUGGGAAGGAGUGAAUUAAUUCCUUGUUUUGCUUUGCUGGUGUGCGCAGCUUUUGCUUUACCUGUUAAAGUGUCUUUAUCUCAGCCCAUGAGUUGCCUCACUUUUACUCUUCUGAAUCUCUGCCCCAUCCAGGUGGGGGGAAUGAGCAAGGGGCUGUGUGGGGCUUGGUUGCUGGUUGGGGCUAAACUAUGACACAAGUUGCUCUUGGGGAGAUUCCGAUUGGACACAAGAGGGAAAGUUUUCACAGUGAGAACAGUCAACCGUUAGAAUAAUCUCCCCAUGGAAGUGGUUGACUUGGCCACAUUGGACACUUUUAAGAUUCAGCUGGGCCAUCUUGUCUAGACUGUGCUCUUCCCAGAAAGGUUGGACUAGAUGAUCCCUGAGGUCCCUUCCAACGUGUGACUCUGAUCUCAAGACAAAAUACCAUUACCCACAUAGUGAACAGGCAGGAGUGUUCCCUUCACAAAACCAGGUGCAGAGUAUUCUAUGGUUUAUUUUUUUUAAUCAGUCUCCUGACAGUAACGACAAGUUUGUGUGUUUUUUGAAGUCUGUAAUAGACUUUUUAUUAAAAUACAAUUUUCAUAUAACUAAGCCAAUUUUUUAAUAACUUGUAGAAAUAUCAGGACUGCAGGCCGCUUACAAAUAGGUUCUGUGACAUCUUAGAGUAAACUAUUUAGCAGCGAUAUAUGAAAUAUGUGAGAAUUUCACUAAUUCAUAAUUUAGUAAUCAGGCAUUUUAUAAUUUGCCUAAAAACAAAUUGCAUCUUAUUGUCAUUCAUCAGUGAAGAUGUAAGGGCUGUGUGCCCUGAGCUUUCAUUUCAGCAACAAUUCUUUCAUUUCUGAAAAUGAAGCCAUGCAUAUUAAUGUUUUAUAGAAUAGAAGCAUAACUCAGUUCUUAAUAUUUCACAGCAAGUCUCAAAAGUUUCUACUAUUAACUAGUUUCUUUUUGUGUAUGCAUACAGUACAUUUUGUCUUGUGCUAUAUUAUCAUCAUGAAGUAUUUUGUAUUUAAUGGAAAAUAAGGUGCUUAAAAUAUUGAUGAGUGCUUCAAUUCACAGGUUUUGAACACCACUGGGAAUUGAGCCUGGUGCCUUGACUCACAGCCCUCUCUCUAACCAAGGGAUUAUUUCAGUGAAGAAUGGAAGUCAGCUCUCAAGGGAGGUGGAAAUGAAUGACAUGAAGACAUACCUGACUCAUAAUUCUGUUCUACAGGUAAUCAUGGACAAUAUUGUGUGAUAUCCUGCAAAUGUAAUUUGAAGGCCGUGAAUGGUGACUCACAGAUUCUGUAUUCUCAACCUUUAUAAGGCAUUCCAUUAAGUGCUGCUACUCCUAGAUGCUGAAUUACCUAAAGUGGCAAAAACGCUUAUCCCUUUUUGUGUCAGAUAUCCUCCUGGUUGUCAAGUGUAACUCCUGUACAUCUCCAUAUACUUCAAAAGUCCACAUAUGUCCCUGAUCCGACAGGGGUGCUCACAGGAGGGAAGAAAGCUUAAUGAGAUUUAGUGCCUAGUCUGGUAAGUCUCAAUGUGACUCCUUGCUUUGACCCCAAACUCAGAGUUAUUUCGGUAAAGGAACAAGAUUUAUAUGAUCAGGAACAGAGAGACAGAUCUCUCCUAUGCAUUAUUUUUAAAAAAGAAACCAAGAAAAAUAAAACCAGACUUAAUUUGUCCUGUGCUGGCACAAGGCUUCUGAGCAGUAUUGGGAAAAUAAUCUCUUGCCACCUUGUGAAUAAAGUAUUUCAUCCUUGUUAAUGAAAUGGCAAAUGUGCUUUGUUCUACUAGAAUCUAUGUUCUACCUGUGGCAGAAGCAGAGCAGUUCUGUUAAGCAGCACGCUCCCUACAAAGGGUGGGAUACUGUGAUAAUUGAGCUCUGCACAGCCAGUAUUGUACAGCUCCAGUUCUGUACCCACUCGUCUCCUUUACUAGAAUCCACAUGUCUAGCCGUGAGACAGAAUCAUGCUGUGGUCCAGAGGGAUGGGAAGAGGUGUGCGUAUCCAUCUUUUAAUGCAGUACAUGCUAUUGGGAUGGUCUGCUGCCCUCAGAGCGUUCUCCUUCCAGCUGCAGAGGCGCAGGGCUGGGCACAUGAGCAGCAGCAGCAUUUGGCUGCUCCUUGUGGGCAUUGGGGAUCUCGCUUGGUCUGUGUGCUGAAUC
Non-coding RNA from Phalacrocorax carbo (great cormorant), 3180 nucleotides. NCBI's taxonomy places the organism in Eukaryota, Metazoa, Chordata, Aves, Suliformes, Phalacrocoracidae. The record is from RefSeq and is a predicted model, not a curated record.